This 459-nucleotide long non-coding RNA is filed under the name Sorghum bicolor (sorghum). Its description in RNAcentral is "long non-coding RNA (SBIC_LNC003590)". The record is from RNAcentral. Lineage: Eukaryota; Viridiplantae; Streptophyta; Magnoliopsida; Poales; Poaceae.
UUAAGUUCAGCGAAAGGCAACAACAAAAACAGUGACUGGGAGACAAUCAUUACAUAAGGUGCUUGUCAAGACUAUCAAGGCGUAGCGUCAUUGGCGCGUACAACUCACUAAAUCAAGGAAACCAACACAUGUAUGUCAGCUUGCUUGCUGUCCAUUGCAACCUUCGUGAAGAGUACAAGUAGAAUGCCUAAAUUGUUUGGUACUUUGAUAAUUACCUGAAACCCGUCAUCAUGUAUUGGAUACAUUGUCCACACUGCUUUGAGAGAUAAUAGACGGUAGCAUGCUAAUAUAAUAUUUUACUACCAGAUGCAUUAUGUACCUUUUUUCUAAUUCUAAUUGCCUUUUGCAGAUUCAUCCUAUUGCUUUUCAAUUUGUCAGCACGUUCAGGGUACUAACCAAGCCUAUUUCACUGAAUGUUUGGGACUUGAUUCUUCUAAGAAGCAAUUUUGUGAGUCAUCG